AUGCCCACUGAUUAUGAAAAGACGCGUUAUUCUGAGGAAUUCAACCAGCUACCAGUCUUUCUUCUGUCUUUUACUCCAUCUUUGAUCUCCUCCAUCUUUCCUCUCCUCUCCUCUCCUCUCCUCUCCUCUCCUCUUUAAACUGGUGGCUGGUCCGCUGACUGCGAUUAUGAGAUAUGAGGGCAU
Seriola aureovittata is the source of this 183-nucleotide small nucleolar RNA. RefSeq annotates it as small nucleolar RNA SNORD97. The record is from RefSeq and is a predicted model, not a curated record. The transcript has a single exon. Lineage: Eukaryota; Metazoa; Chordata; Actinopteri; Carangiformes; Carangidae.